Molecule: ribosomal RNA, 497 nt
Filed under: uncultured bacterium
Lineage: Bacteria
Description: partial 16S ribosomal RNA
Rfam family: Bacterial small subunit ribosomal RNA
Source: RNAcentral
GAUGAACGCUGGCGGCAUGCCUAAUACAUGCAAGUCGAGCGAACAGACGAGGAGCUUGCUCCUCUGACGUUAGCGGCGGACGGGUGAGUAACACGUGGAUAACCUACCUAUAAGACUGGGAUAACUUCGGGAAACCGGAGCUAAUACCGGAUAACAUGUUGAACCGCAUGGUUUAACAGUGAAAGACGGUCUUGCUGUCACUUAUAGAUGGAUCCGCGCCGCAUUAGCUAGUUGGUAAGGUAACGGCUUACCAAGGCAACGAUGCGUAGCCGACCUGAGAGGGUGAUCGGCCACACUGGAACUGAGACACGGUCCAGACUCCUACGGGAGGCAGCAGUAGGGAAUCUUCCGCAAUGGGCGAAAGCCUGACGGAGCAACGCCGCGUGAGUGAAGAAGGUCUUCGGAUCGUAAAACUCUGUUAUUAGGGAAGAACAAAUGUGUAAGUAACUAUGCACGUCUUGACGGUACCUAAUCAGAAAGCCACGGCUAACUACGUG